UCUAUUUUCCAGUAUCUUUCAGGUGUGUGUGUUUAGUGAAGACUGUGAACUAAAUUCUGGUUGUGUCAUCUGGACAUUGAUUGACAUUGCAGAGCCAUGCAGUAUUUUAACUACUUACUGGAUGUUGGGCUACAGGCAUAAUUAACAAAAACUAUUUAAACUAACUCAUGAAGAAGGUGAUUUACAUAAGUUCAAAUGAAUUUGCAUUCAUUAGCAUGUUAUGACUAGGGAAGUAUUCUCUUAGCAGUUCCUUAUAAUUGAGUGGUAUGUACAUCAUUAGAGAAUACAGCUGAGAUGGACUGUGCAUUUUCCUUGUG
Ochotona curzoniae (black-lipped pika) is the source of this 317-nucleotide long non-coding RNA. RefSeq lists it as uncharacterized. The transcript is spliced from 3 exons. NCBI's taxonomy places the organism in Eukaryota, Metazoa, Chordata, Mammalia, Lagomorpha, Ochotonidae. The record is from RefSeq and is a predicted model, not a curated record.